GACGAACGCUGGCGGCGUGCCUAAUACAUGCAAGUAGAACGCUGAAGGAGGAGCUUGCUUCUCUGGAUGAGUUGCGAACGGGUGAGUAACGCGUAGGUAACCUGCCUGGUAGCGGGGGAUAACUAUUGGAAACGAUAGCUAAUACCGCAUAAGAGUAGAUGUUGCAUGACAUUUGCUUAAAAUGUGCAAUUGCAUCACUACCAGAUGGACCUGCGUUGUAUUAGCUAGUUGGUGGGGUAACGGCUCACCAAGGCGACGAUACAUAGCCGACCUGAGAGGGUGAUCGGCCCACAUGGGAAUGAGACACGGCCCAGAAUCCCAAGGGAGGCAGCAGUAGGGAAUCUUCGGACAUGGACGGAAGUCUGACCGAGCAACGCCGCGUGAGUGAAGAAGGUUUUCGGAUCGUAAAGCUCUGUUGUAAGAGAAGAACGAGUGUGAGAGUGGAAAGUUCACACUGUGACGGUAUCUUACCAGAAAGGGACGGCUAACUACGUG
Molecule: ribosomal RNA, 495 nt
Filed under: uncultured bacterium
Lineage: Bacteria
Description: partial 16S ribosomal RNA
Rfam family: Bacterial small subunit ribosomal RNA
Source: RNAcentral